This 69-nucleotide transfer RNA is filed under the name Asobara japonica. Its description in RNAcentral is "tRNA-Leu". The record is from RNAcentral. Lineage: Eukaryota; Metazoa; Arthropoda; Insecta; Hymenoptera; Braconidae.
UUUAAUAUGGCAGAAUAGUGCAAUAAAUUUAAGAUUUAUAAAUAAAAAUUAAUAUAUUUUUUAUUAAAA